GCGAGUAUGGCCCUCACGGGUCUAAUCCACCAUAAACACCUUUGUGAACCAGUCAGGGGGACUCGGCCCGUGAAAGCCCAGGCGAUUAGCGGAAGGGCCCUCCUUUGCAAACCCGUUUAGAAGUCUUGAAAGUACUUUUGUAUAAUCUAGUAA
Molecule: unclassified non-coding RNA, 153 nt
Filed under: soil metagenome
Description: partial internal transcribed spacer 1
Source: RNAcentral